RNAcentral lists this ribosomal RNA (468 nucleotides) under uncultured bacterium. RNAcentral's name for it is "partial 16S ribosomal RNA". It matches the Rfam family "Bacterial small subunit ribosomal RNA", at positions 28 to 507 of the family's 1533-position model. The record is from RNAcentral.
GACGAACGCUGGCGGCGUGCUUAACACAUGCAAGUCGAACGGAAAGGCCCUGCUUUUGUGGGGUGCUCGAGUGGCGAACGGGUGAGUAACACGUGAGUAACCUGCCCUUGACUUUGGGAUAACUUCAGGAAACUGGGGCUAAUACCGGAUAGGAGCUCCUGCUGCAUGGUGGGGGUUGGAACGUUUCGGCGGUUGGGGAUGGACUCGCGGCUUAUCAGCUUGUUGGUGGGGUAGUGGCUUACCAAGGCUUUGACGGGUAGCCGGCCUGAGAGGGUGACCGGCCACAUUGGGACUGAGAUACGGCGCAGACUCCUACGGGAGGCAGCAGUGGGGAAUAUUGCACAAUGGGCGGAAGCCUGAUGCAGCAACGCCGCGUGCGGGAUGACGGCCUUCGGGGUGUAAACCGCUGUCGCCUGUGACGAAGCGUGAGUGACGGUAAUGGGUAAAGAAGCACCGGCUAACUACGUG